Molecule: non-coding RNA, 4812 nt
Organism: Tetranychus urticae (two-spotted spider mite)
Lineage: Eukaryota; Metazoa; Arthropoda; Arachnida; Trombidiformes; Tetranychidae
Source: RefSeq, a predicted model, not a curated record
UUUGUAAAGACAAGUGUUUACUGUAGUUGUAUGUAACCUUUGGACUAUUAUUUUUAUCUUCAUUAAUUGAAUUCAAUUGUUUUCCUUAACUUAUUUUACUCCUUCAGGUCGAUGAUAAAUAUUUCCAUUAAAAUCAGUGUUAAUUUUCAUAGCUGAUUAACAAUAUUUCAAUCAGAAGAUUGGUCCAUCUUUGGUAAUUACCAGUCUCUUUCUUCACAGCUGUGUUACAUGAUUUUUCAAAAGUUUUUCGAUAUCGAAUGGUUUACUCUGAAGCAAGGACCAGAAUUAAGUUGCAUACACUUUAUUUCAAACCUGAUAUUCAGCUGAUGUCAAUGAUCUCCCAAUGUCUUCAUGUCCAAGAAUCGUUUCAGAUGGAAGACUGAGUGAUGUGUUUGCUGUAGGAAAAUUCAUCAACUUUGUUCGCAAAAAAAGGCCAAAGCUUUGAAAGAAAAGGGAAUAAUAUUAGGUAGAUAAAGUGGGAGAAAAUGAAUAGGAAGAAACAAAAAAGAAUUGAGUAGCCUUUAUUUUUGCCUUCUCUUGUUCAUCUCGUCUAAUUUGGCACUGUCUAUCUGUCUGUCUAUCAAUCGGAAACCUACUAAUGUCCUACUAUGCCCAAGCUCGAGGAAUUAAGGUAGACUAUGAAAAGAUUCUCAAGAGAUUGAAAGGGGAUAGAGAAGUUUAUUGUCAAGUCUUUUUUAUUUCAGAAAUAUUUUUCCUUUUCAAUGAAUAUCAAAAUGCUUAGCAGAUUUGAAAUCUUGAUGAAACUGGCGAGAUAAUAUUUAUUGCUGCCCACUAUUAAAUCGGAUUGGACACAGUUAACAUAAUUUCGUAUUAUGGCCGUAAAAAUUUCAUUCUAAUCAUUUAUUCAUGUGGUAUAAAUUUGCUAUUAGCUAAUCAUUUGUAUAUCAUUGUGCUAUCUCCAUAUUUUUUGCAUACUUUAGGUCAAGAGUAACAGAACUUGCAAAUUCUGAUCAUUUUUGUCCAUGGGAUCUUCAUACAAGGAUAAGGAAUAUGACAAAGUACAUUUACGAGGUCGAAUCCAACCUGAGUAGUGAUGAAUCGUUUCAAAACUUACGCAGCUUUUGAACGUUAUUUUCAAUAAUUAACUUUAAAAUAGGUCAUAAUUAUGGCCGGUGAAUGGAUGGUGAAGGAACAUUCAAGCAAAGUAAAUUUGCUUGCACGUGAAUAAGAAUCACAAUUAAGUGCGUUAUUCCAUUCUAUUCCUCUAUCAUCAUUUACCUCAAUUAUUUCCUUUUUUAUUAAUCUCGUCAUCAUAGUCAUUUACAAAGUAUAUUAAGUUUCUUACAUUUAAAAUUAUUUUGUUUGUAAAUUGUAUCUCAUUCAUGACAAUUACUUAAAAAUUUAUACCACUUAAUGAGAGCUGACUAAUUGCAGUUAAACUGUUUCAGAAAUCCUCCAACAACACAUAGAUGAACCUGGAAAUGGAUGAUUAGCCAUGAAGUUUUAGGAUCAAAGGAACGCAAAAACUGAAGUGAAAAAAAGAUGAUUAGACUCGUGUUCUGGGCAUAACAAAUUUGAUAAUUUUUUCUAUUCACCUCUAGAAAAUUUGCUGUUGACAAGGAAUUGACGAUGAUAACUCGGAAGGUGGUCAGUUUGAUUUGACUGCCGAUGAAAGAUGAACAAUAAAAGAAAGAAGAAACAAAUCAAAUGAUUAGAUUCUCUCUUGGGCCACUUCCUUAACUUUUCCAUCAAAGAUGAUUUAACCUUGCUGACUUUAUCUUCUGUGUUUGUAGGACUGACAUUGGAUAAGAUCGUGAUCAAGGCGUCCCAGGAUAUCAAAAUAGACUAAAUUACUAGUUAUUAUUAUUAUUCACCAUUAUUACAUUGGAUACAAAUUUGAUGGAAACAAUGAGCUUGAAUCAGCUUAACAAGAAGCAAUCUAUUGGCCAUCAUUAUCAUCAUAAUCAAUGGAAACAACAAUAAAUGGUUGUCUUUAAAGCAUGGACUGGAUUUCGUUAGUUGGUCAGCUUUAAAAUUGAAUCACAUGGAAUGGCGUUUGAAGAAAAGAAUCGUUGAAAAGCAGAAAAAAACAGCAAAAGCAAAGAGCGACGAAGAAGCUGAAAAUGAUGAAAAAGAUGGUUAAAAAAGAGGAAAAGAAACAAUUUUAAGAAAAUAAAGAUUUAAAGACAGAGAUGGAUUGAUGAAAUGAAAAUGGGUUGAAAACAAUUGAAGUGGAGCAGAAUUGAGCGCACGAUCGAGUUCGAAAGAAAUGCAAUUUCCGGUACACUUUUGAACUAAAGAAGGAUGAUGAUGAUGAGGAAAAAGAUGGAUAGCCAGAGAGACAGACAGACAUUGGAAGAAAGACUAAAUGGUUAAAGAUGAACAAGAGAAGAAAUAAGAAGAUACAAAAUAUGAUGUUGAAGAUAAAUGGAUGAAAAUGAUGAAGAUGAAGGAAGGAAGAAGCCUCACUUGGAGAGGGAGUGAGGAAGGUUUUAUAAUCAAGGCAAAACCGGCUUAAAAAAAUCAUUGAAUAGUUACAAUAACUCCAAAUUUACUCCCAGCAGGUUUAGAGAGAAAGGGAAAGAUGAAGAGAAGUGCAAAAAACUGUGUAACAUCAAUUGGAGUAAACUGCAUUCAUCAGAUUGCUUGUUACAUGAAAUAAGAGAUACAUGUGUAUGAAGAUUAGAUUAAAUGAAUCAAGCUGGGAACAAAUGAAUGUCAACAACAUUUUAUUUCAUCAUCACAAUCAUCUUUUUUCUUCCUUGACGCUAACAGCAAUUAAGGUGUAACUCUUAUCAUUUUUUUGUUCACCUUGCUACUCUUCAACCUAAUGAAAGUCACAUCAAUACCAUCAACCUGGCAAGUUGUAUCAACAUUUCCUGGUGUUUUGGACCCAUCAACAGAUCACACAGUUGAUGUUUUCAGUUGAACACGUUAACGUUUAACUGUUGAUCGUUAAUCUCUCUUAUAAUCUGAUGAUUUUGAAAAGAUAGGAUCAUGCUAAGAGGAUAAAUGUUUGACAAAAUCAAGUUUAAUGAUGAUAUGAUAAUCAAAAUAGGGCUUAGCAUUAGUGCAAUAAUUUUACUUGUGUAAAUUGUUGACCAAAAUAUCAUACAGUUAAUGUUGAAAGGUACAAAUGAAGCGUUUCUUGACCACGUAAAUGAUGAUGAUAAUGACGAUGAUGACAAGAAAGAUGGAAACAAAAAGUACAAGUAAGGAAAGCGAUAUCCAGAUGAAGAGAUAGAAAAGCCUUGAAGAUGAUGAAGGAAGGAAACAAGUAUAAUGAUGGGCGCCAAAGACGAUGUAUUAACUUGUAAAGCCAACACGAUGUUAUCACGAGAGGACGAAAAAGAAGACAGAGAAGAAGACGAAGAUAGAGUGAGAAGAUUGAAAAUAGAGCAAGACAAGAUGAUAACAAGAAAAACUCACAAAUGAUACUUACUCACACACAGAGAUCUAUGAUGAUUUGAAUGAGGCUAUCUUAUUUUGGGAUCUUUAGACAUCAUUGACUUUUUGACUGGUGAAGAGCAUAAAUGGCUGAUAAAAACUGAUACAAUGGCUAACUGAUGAGACAACAAGGGUUAAACGAGUGAACCUGAUUUUUGUUCAAGUCAACUUAGCCACGGGUACCAUUACUAUGCGUACUAAUAUACUGCCAAUUUGAUCUACUAUUACUAUCUUCAUCUUGUUUUGCCCUUUUUUACUCACCUUCACCUUCAUCAUCGUUGUCUUUUUUUUAAUGAUAUCUAACCAAGAAGGCUUGGUCAAUUGGGUAAAUUCAUCAUGUUGAGGAGGAUAUGUGCACACACACACACACUUACAUUCAUCCUCCGUGUAUUUUUCUAGCUUAAAGGGAAGACAAGAGUGAAAAGAUGAUGAUGAUGAAGAUGAAGUAAAACAAGCAAAUGUAUAGGUAAGAAAAAUGUCUUAUGAGGCGAAACUCACUGUGAAAAAUAACUUUUUUUUGUGAGCCACUGAGGCCUCUUUAAGAUGUUGCUGUUUUUGUUGUUGUUGAUGAUGGUGAUGAUGAAGAUUUGGUUGAAGGUAGCAAGAAACAUGAAGUUGAAGGAAGAGAAAAAUAAAAAGAAAUAGAAGGAAGAGGGAAAAAUAAGAUAAGAGAGAAACUAAAAGAUUCAUAGUGGUAAGGAGGAAAGGCCAAAAGGAGGGAGUCAAGAUGAUGAUGGUGAAGAAGAAGCAGGAGAUGAAGAUAAAGAUGAAAAUGAUGAAGCAUAGAAAAGAAAGGUCAUUUAUCAGCUGAGAGUUUUCUUAGUGUACAAGUAAAGCUGUAUCGUUGUUCAGCUUGUGACUGAAGCUAAAUACAAGAUCACGAUUUUUUUUCAACCUUUUUGGUGGAGCUCAGUUCGUUUAAACUUGAACUAUUUUUCAAAUCAACGAGAAGAAGAUGAAGUAAAAUAGGAACAACAGCUCAAUGAUAUAAGCCUGAGGAUGUCAUGAGAAGAAGAUGAAGGAAAAAAAAGUUGAAAAUGAGAAACUCAAGUCUGUGGAUUCAUUUUACUUUACAACUGGUCAAAAAAGAAGUAAGAAAAACUAAUGAAAAAAGAUGAAAAUUUAUAGCUGGUCCAAUUUGAUAUUUUUGUUUUUUUUGGGAUUCUGUGUGAUGUAUUAGAAGACACCAAAUCUUUCCUUUCAUCAUCAUCAUUCAACUUGUUUCAUUUAUUCCUUUAUUACAGCUUGAUUCUUCACCAUUUAUCAGUAACUCUUUUUAGUAUCAUUAGUAUAUUAAAGGUCAACAAUCACAAGUUUCAACUUCAAUUGUAUCUACAUUUUAUAAUUUUACGCAACUCUCCAAUGGAUUAAUUUGCUAAAAAGAACCGAUUUUCCCAAAUCUGA